This 276-nucleotide unclassified non-coding RNA is filed under the name sea anemone metagenome. RNAcentral describes it as "partial contains small subunit ribosomal RNA and internal transcribed spacer 1". The stretch from base 1 to 158 matches the Rfam family "Eukaryotic small subunit ribosomal RNA", at positions 1678 to 1831 of the family's 1831-position model. The record is from RNAcentral.
GCUACUACCGAUUGAAUGGUUUAGUGAGGACUCCUGAUUGGCGCCGCCGCCCCGGCAACGGAGCAGCGGACUGCCGAAAAGUUGUUCAAACUUGAUCAUUUAGAGGAAGUAAAAGUCGUAACAAGGUUUCCGUAGGUGAACCUGCAGCAGGAUCAAGAGCGGAAGAGCGACGUGUUGGGAAAGAGUGCAGAUCUUGGUGGGCGCCGGAUGAUGUAAAAAAAAAAACGAAGUGAACUAUAAACACAAUUAAGACAUCAAAAGAUUCAAUCUUAUCAU